CCUGAGUCAAGCUCAAGUAAACCACGCAAACCAAGCAAGAAAAGUUGUACAAACCAACAGGAUAAUUAAAAGUUUGGUUUAUUGCUGUAUUCAUUUUCUCUUACAGCUCAAAGUCGGGCCAAUGAACGGCAUUUGCAGAGACUAUGCGCCUGGGAAGAGCUUCAGCUUUCAGAUCAGAGGUGACCCGGGUGCAAAAGUCAGCCUGGUGGCUGUGGACAACGCUGUGUAUCUUCUCAACGAGGACAGACUCACACAGAGGAAGAUUUGGGACGUGGUGGAGCAUGGAGACAUUGGCUGCACCCGUGGGGGAGGAUGAGAUGCUCAGGGGGUGUUUUCUGAUGCAGGACUGCUUUAGGACUGCUUUAGGACUGCUUUACUCCUCCAGUACCGGGUUCAAAACUACAACCAGACAAACCGUGCAGUGUCCAGGCAGUACCAGAAGGAGACGCUCUGCUGAACUGUUGAAGCGUAAAGCUCAGCUGGUUGCCUGCUAAUCUUGAUUUGGAAGUAGAGGCUCGAGGAAAUGGACAAGGAAUACUAGAGUACAGGGAAAGACGACCACGGGUUGUGACCUAUUACAAUCAGCUGCAUGAGGUGGAAGAGAAAAUGCCCUGCAAGCACUUUGAUCUCAACGUCACUUUUGAAGGAUCCAGCGGGCUCUAGGACCCAGAGACGUCAGGAUGGUGGUUCUUGAUAUCAGUCUACCAACUGGAUUCACCCCAGAAAACUCUGACCUGGAG
Amphiprion ocellaris (clown anemonefish) is the source of this 740-nucleotide long non-coding RNA. The record is from Ensembl. NCBI's taxonomy places the organism in Eukaryota, Metazoa, Chordata, Actinopteri, Pomacentridae.